RNAcentral lists this ribosomal RNA (434 nucleotides) under uncultured Alcaligenaceae bacterium. RNAcentral describes it as "bacterial SSU rRNA". It matches the Rfam family "Bacterial small subunit ribosomal RNA", at positions 944 to 1382 of the family's 1533-position model. The record is from RNAcentral. Lineage: Bacteria; Pseudomonadati; Pseudomonadota; Betaproteobacteria; Burkholderiales; Alcaligenaceae.
GGUUAAUUCGAAGCAACGCGAAGAACCUUACCAGGGCUUGACAUCCCUUGAAGCAGCUAGAGAUAGCUGUGUCCUUCGGGACAAGGAGACAGGUGGUGCAUGGUUGUCGUCAGCUCGUGUCGUGAGAUGUUCGGGUUAAAGUCCCGCAACGAGCGCAACCCUUGUCAUUAGUUGCUACGAAAGGGCACUCUAAUGAGACUGCCGGUGACAAAACCGGAGGAAAGGUGGGGAUGACGUCAAGUCCUCAUGGCCCUUAUGGGUAGGGCUUCACACGUCAUACAAUGGUCGGUACAGAGGGCUGCCAACCCGCAAGGGGGAGCCAAUCCCUUAAAACCGAUCGUAGUCCGGAUUGAGGUCUGCAACUCGACCUCAUGAAGUCGGAAUCGCUAGUAAUCGCGGAUCAGCAUGUCGCGGUGAAUACGUUCCCGGGUCUU